Long non-coding RNA from Bombus pyrosoma, 526 nucleotides. RefSeq lists it as uncharacterized. The record is from RefSeq and is a predicted model, not a curated record. NCBI's taxonomy places the organism in Eukaryota, Metazoa, Arthropoda, Insecta, Hymenoptera, Apidae. The transcript has 4 exons.
UAAACUCCAACACGUUACAGCAAUCACCAAAUUGCGACGAGUGUAAAAUUAAAAAGUAAUUAAGAUUCAAUAUUAUCGUUAAUUUGAUAAUAGUUCGCGCAAUAUGGAUAUGUCUCUGAAGGUACGCAAUUACCCGAAACUGGUUUUUCAUAUGGGAACCGACCCUCGCUUGUACAUAAUACCUCAUUUAAGCGGUUCAUCUGAAAAAACAAGAGAAGUGCCCUAGGAAGCUUCCAAACUAGUAUUCUUGGGUUCUACACAUCAGAAACGAGAUACAAAUUUUGAUUUAAAAAAAACGGAAAUUCGAUGUGCCUCAAAACGAAGAUUAACCUCAACUUUUAUCAAUACAAUUAUAAUAGUUAGGUCUCAUUACGCCGAUUCAUGUAUAACAGAAAAGAGGGAAGCAAAAUAGAGAUGCUUACGAUUGUAAUCGAAUCAGGCAGCUUUUGAAGUGAAAAUUUCGCGCAAUCGUCUGUUCCUGAUGAGCACAACAAUUUUUCCUCGUCGAAGACGGAGCCUCUUGGAC